UUUGGUUAAGUUAGAAAGGGCGCACGGUGGAUGCCUUGACACUAGGAGUCGAUGAAGGACGGGACUAACGCCGAUAUGCUUCGGGGAGCUGUAAGUAAGCUUUGAUCCGAAGAUUUCCGAAUGGGGAAACCCACCAUACGUAAUGGUAUGGUAUCCUUAUCUGAAUACAUAGGGUAAGGAAGACAGACCCAGGGAACUGAAACAUCUAAGUACCUGGAGGAAGAGAAAGCAAAUGCGAUUUCCUGAGUAGCGGCGAGCGAAACGGAACAUAGCCCAAACCAAGAGGCUUGCCUCUUGGGGUUGUAGGACAUUCUAUACGGAGUUACAAAGGAACGAGGUAGACGAAGCGACCUGGAAAGGUCCGUCGUAGAGGGUAACAACCCCGUAGUCGAAACUUCGUUCUCUCUUGAAUGUAUCCUGAGUACGGCGGAACACGUGAAAUUCCGUCGGAAUCUGGGAGGACCAUCUCCCAAGGCUAAAUACUCCCUAGUGAUCGAUAGUGAACCAGUACCGUGAGGGAAAGGUGAAAAGCACCCCGGAAGGGGAGUGAAAGAGAUCCUGAAACCGUGUGCCUACAAAUAGUCAGAGCCCGUUAACGGGUGAUGGCGUGCCUUUUGUAGAAUGAACCGGCGAGUUACGAUCCCGUGCGAGGUUAAGCUGAAGAGGCGGAGCCGCAGCGAAAGCGAGUCUGAAUAGGGCGUUUAGUACGUGGUCGUAGACCCGAAACCAGGUGAUCUACCCAUGUCCAGGGUGAAGUUCAGGUAACACUGAAUGGAGGCCCGAACCCACGCACGUUGAAAAGUGCGGGGAUGAGGUGUGGGUAGCGGAGAAAUUCCAAUCGAACCUGGAGAUAGCUGGUUCUCCCCGAAAUAGCUUUAGGGCUAGCCUUAAGUGUAAGAGUCUUGGAGGUAGAGCACUGAUUGGACUAGGGGUCCUCAUCGGAUUACCGAAUUCAGUCAAACUCCGAAUGCCAAUGACUUAUCCUUAGGAGUCAGACUGCGAGUGAUAAGAUCCGUAGUCAAAAGGGAAACAGCCCAGACCGCCAGCUAAGGUCCCAAAGUGUGUAUUAAGUGGAAAAGGAUGUGGAGUUGCUUAGACAACUAGGAUGUUGGCUUAGAAGCAGCCACCAUUUAAAGAGUGCGUAAUAGCUCACUAGUCGAGUGACUCUGCGCCGAAAAUGUACCGGGGCUAAAUACACCACCGAAGCUGCGGAUUGAUACCAAUGGUAUCAGUGGUAGGGGAGCGUUCUAAGGACAGUGAAGUCAGACCGUAAGGACUGGUGGAGUGCUUAGAAGUGAGAAUGCCGGUAUGAGUAGCGAAAGACGGGUGAGAAUCCCGUCCACCGAAUGCCUAAGGUUUCCUGAGGAAGGCUCGUCCGCUCAGGGUUAGUCAGGACCUAAGCCGAGGCCGACAGGCGUAGGCGAUGGACAACAGGUUGAUAUUCCUGUACCACCUCUUUAUCGUUUGAGCAAUGGAGGGACGCAGAAGGAUAGAAGAAGCGUGCGAUUGGUUGUGCACGUCCAAGCAGUUAGGCUGAUAAGUAGGCAAAUCCGCUUAUCAUAAAGGCUGAGCUGUGAUGGGGAAGCUCCUUAUGGAGCGAAGUCUUUGAUUCCCCGCUGCCAAGAAAAGCUUCUAGCGAGAUAAAAGGUGCCUGUACCGCAAACCGACACAGGUAGGCGAGGAGAGAAUCCUAAGGUGUGCGAGAGAACUCUGGUUAAGGAACUCGGCAAAAUGACCCCGUAACUUCGGGAGAAGGGGUGCUUUCUUAACGGAAAGCCGCAGUGAAUAGGCCCAAGCGACUGUUUAGCAAAAACACAGCUCUCUGCGAAGCCGUAAGGCGAAGUAUAGGGGGUGACACCUGCCCGGUGCUGGAAGGUUAAGGAGAGGGGUUAGCGUAAGCGAAGCUCUGAACUGAAGCCCCAGUAAACGGCGGCCGUAACUAUAACGGUCCUAAGGUAGCGAAAUUCCUUGUCGGGUAAGUUCCGACCCGCACGAAAGGUGUAACGAUUUGGGCACUGUCUCAACCAGAGACUCGGUGAAAUUAUAGUACCUGUGAAGAUGCAGGUUACCCGCGACAGGACGGAAAGACCCCGUGGAGCUUUACUGUAGCCUGAUAUUGAAUUUUGGUACAGUUUGUACAGGAUAGGCGGGAGCCAUUGAAACCGGAGCGCUAGCUUCGGUGGAGGCGCUGGUGGGAUACCGCCCUGACUGUAUUGAAAUUCUAACCUACGGGUCUUAUCGACCCGGGAGACAGUGUCAGGUGGGCAGUUUGACUGGGGCGGUCGCCUCCUAAAGUGUAACGGAGGCGCCCAAAGGUUCCCUCAGAAUGGUUGGAAAUCAUUCGUAGAGUGCAAAGGCAUAAGGGAGCUUGACUGCGAGACCUACAAGUCGAGCAGGGACGAAAGUCGGGCUUAGUGAUCCGGUGGUUCCGCAUGGAAGGGCCAUCGCUCAACGGAUAAAAGCUACCCCGGGGAUAACAGGCUUAUCUCCCCCAAGAGUCCACAUCGACGGGGAGGUUUGGCACCUCGAUGUCGGCUCAUCGCAUCCUGGGGCUGUAGUCGGUCCCAAGGGUUGGGCUGUUCGCCCAUUAAAGCGGUACGCGAGCUGGGUUCAGAACGUCGUGAGACAGUUCGGUCCCUAUCCGUCGUGGGCGUAGGAAAUUUGAGAGGAGCUGUCCUUAGUACGAGAGGACCGGGAUGGACGCACCGCUGGUGUACCAGUUGUUCUGCCAAGGGCAUAGCUGGGUAGCUAUGUGCGGAAGGGAUAAGUGCUGAAAGCAUCUAAGCAUGAAGCCCCCCUCAAGAUGAGAUUUCCCAUAGCGUAAGCUAGUAAGAUCCCUGAAAGAUGAUCAGGUUGAUAGGUUCGAGGUGGAAGCAUGGUGACAUGUGGAGCUGACGAAUACUAAUAGAUCGAGGUCUUAAGCAUAUAA
RNAcentral lists this ribosomal RNA (2929 nucleotides) under Bacillus cereus. Its description in RNAcentral is "bacterial LSU rRNA". It matches the Rfam family "Bacterial large subunit ribosomal RNA". Lineage: Bacteria; Bacillati; Bacillota; Bacilli; Caryophanales; Bacillaceae. The record is from RNAcentral.